UACGGGGGGGGCAAGCGUUGUUCGGAAUUACUGGGCGUAAAGGGCUUGUAGGCGGCCAACUAAGUCAGAUGUGAAAUCCCUCGGCUUAACCGGGGAACUGCGUCUGAUACUGGAUGGCUUGAAUCCGGGAGAGGGAUGCGGAAUUCCAGGUGUAGCGGUGAAAUGCGUAGAUAUCUGGAGGAACACCGGUGGCGAAGGCGGCAGCCUGGACCGGCAUUGACGCUGAGGCGCGAAAGCCAGGGGAGCAAACGGG
RNAcentral lists this ribosomal RNA (253 nucleotides) under uncultured bacterium. RNAcentral describes it as "partial 16S ribosomal RNA". It matches the Rfam family "Bacterial small subunit ribosomal RNA", at positions 524 to 776 of the family's 1533-position model. The record is from RNAcentral.